AUACCUUUCUCGGCCUUUUGGCUAAGAUCAAGUGUAGUAUUUAUUCAUAUCAGUUUAAUAUCUGCUAUGUGGACCAAUGAUCCAAAUGAUAUUAAAUUUAUUUCUUGAGGGGGAGAGUCCACCACAAUAACUUGCUAUUGCGUCUCAUGUGUCGCCUUUGUGUUGUACACUUGUACUAUUGCAUUGGCCUGACACACCCCAA
RNAcentral lists this small nuclear RNA (202 nucleotides) under Trifolium pratense (red clover). RNAcentral describes it as "snRNA U2". It matches the Rfam family "U2 spliceosomal RNA". Rfam says of the family: U2 is a small nuclear RNA (snRNA) component of the spliceosome (involved in pre-mRNA splicing). Lineage: Eukaryota; Viridiplantae; Streptophyta; Magnoliopsida; Fabales; Fabaceae. The record is from RNAcentral.